UGAUUUGUUGUGGUAACUCGUUAUCCCACUACAAAUUAUCGUAACUUCAACAGCACAUCGGGAACGUAGCCGAAAAUGAUUCGAGCAGAUCCGCUUCACUUUAUUUGUUUUAUUCUAGUCAGUUCUCUCGGCCUUCUGCAACAAGUUGCAAGCCAGACAGCGCUCCAAUCUGAUCGAGAGAUCUACGAAUCAUUCACCUGUGAAUAGAAAACCAAAGAUUUAAUCUGCCCCGAUGGACAAGGCAUUGUAAUUGAUUUUGCCAACUACGGGCGUACAACCCACCCAGUUUGCGUGAUGGACCCGGUGCGUGACGGACCCAAUACUUGUAGCAACCCGUCUCACACGAGCGUCGUCGCGUCAUUCUGUAAUGGUCAGUCGAAUUGCGUCGUCCCCGCUACCAAUUUAUUUUUUGGUGACCCAUGUCCUACCAUUGUCAAAUAUUUGCAAAUCAACUACUACUGCGAGACUUUGAUCCCAUCCGCGAUCAAAGAAUCGUUUACUUGCGAGUGGCAAUCCAAAACGUUGACUUGCCCCAGCGGCCAAAGCAUCAUCGUCGAUUACGCCAACUACGGCCGUACAACCCACCCAGUUUGCGUGAUGGACCCGGUGCGUGACGGACCCAAUACUUGUAGCAACCCGUCUCACACGAGCGUCGUCGCGUCACACUGCGACGGCAAGUCGAAUUGCGUUGUCCCCGCUACCAAUUUUGUUUUUGGUGACCCAUGUCCUACCAUUGUCAAAUAUUUGCAAAUCCAAUAUCACUGUGCUUGAAUUUGAGAGGAAAUGGAACGGCUUAUUAUAGUGAAAACUAUACAAGGGAAUUUUAUUAUGAUAUUGGUGGAAAUAAACGCCAUAUAGA
RNAcentral lists this long non-coding RNA (859 nucleotides) under Daphnia pulicaria. Its description in RNAcentral is "uncharacterized LOC124320470". The record is from RNAcentral. Lineage: Eukaryota; Metazoa; Arthropoda; Branchiopoda; Diplostraca; Daphniidae.